CAGCCGCCGCGGUAAGACGAAGGUGGCGAGCGUUGUUCGGAAUCACUGGGCAUAAAGCGCACGUAGGCGGUGACGUAAGUCGGGUGUGAAAUCCCUCGGCCUAACCGAGGAACUGCGCCCGAUACUGCGUUGCUUGAGGAUCAGAGGGGUGCAUGGAAUUUCCGGUGGAGCGGUGAAAUGCGUUGAUAUCGGAAGGAACUCCGGCGGCGAAAGCGAUGCACUGGCUGAUUUCUGACGCUGAGGUGCGAAAGCCAGGGGAGCAAACGGGAUUAGAUACCCCAGUAGUCCCUGUCUCUUAUAC
This 301-nucleotide ribosomal RNA is filed under the name uncultured bacterium. Its description in RNAcentral is "partial 16S ribosomal RNA". It matches the Rfam family "Bacterial small subunit ribosomal RNA", at positions 509 to 807 of the family's 1533-position model. The record is from RNAcentral.